This 291-nucleotide ribosomal RNA is filed under the name uncultured bacterium. RNAcentral describes it as "partial 16S ribosomal RNA". It matches the Rfam family "Bacterial small subunit ribosomal RNA", at positions 335 to 645 of the family's 1533-position model. The record is from RNAcentral.
ACUCCUACGGGAGGCAGCAGUGGGGAAUAUUGGACAAUGGGCGCAAGCCUGAUCCAGCCAUGCCGCGUGAGUGAUGAAGGCCUUAGGGUUGUAAAGCUCUUUCACCGGGAAGAUAAUGACGGUACCGAGAAGAAGCCCCGGCUAACUUCGNGCCAUGCAGCCGCGGUAAUACGAAGGGGGCUAGCGUUGUUCGGAAUUACUGGGCGUAAAGCGCACGUAGGCGGACAUUUAAGUCAGGGGUGAAAUCCCAGAGCUCAACUCUGGAACUGCCUUUGAUACUGGGUGUCUUGA